UAAUAAAAUGCUACAACCCGACUGGGGGAUGGCUCGGCUCGAGAGCCGAAGAAGGUCGUGACAAGCUGCGAUAAGUUGCGGGGAGAGGCAUGAAUCUCUUGGAUCCGCAAAUUGCUGAAUGGGACCUCCUGGCACUCUGUGCCAUUCCUAAAUGGAAAGGGAACCUCCUGAACUGAAGCAUCUCAGUAGGGAGAGGAAAAGAAAUCAAACGAGAUACCGCUAGUAGUGGCGAAUGAAAACGGUAUAGGACAAACCGAAUCUUUAUGAGAAAUCAUGAAGAGAUGUGGGGUAUGGACCAUCUGUAGUCUAAGUCAUGGAAGUAGAAGUCGCCUGGAACGGCGCACCAUAGAGGGUGAAAGACCCGUAUAUGUACAUGAUAUGACCAUGUGAUGAAUCCUGAGUAUCGUGCGUUGGAUAUCGCGCGUGAAUAUGGGAGGCAUAAACUUCCAAUCCUAAAUACUACUCGAGACCGAUAGUUGACAAGUAGCGUGAGCGAAAGCUGAAAAGUAUCCUUAGCGGGAUGUGAAAAGAACCUGAAACCAGUCGGGAACAAGCUGAAUAGGCGUGAAAGCGAAGAUAUGAGCAGCGUCUAUUCGUGCGUUUCGAAUAAUGCCCCUGGGAGUUCUGAUUAAUGGCGAGGUUAAGGAGUUAAACUCCGAAGCCGAAGGGAAACCGAAAGGUCCGCAGCCGCUUAGGCGGUGAGGGACUGGGUGUGCUCGCCCGGAGUCAUUAGUGGGAGACCUGAAGCCUAUCGAUCUAUGCCUGGCCAGAUUGAAGCCCGAUGAAAGUUGGGUGGAGGAUCCAACCGUUGCUGAUGUGCAAAUCGCUCGGAUGAGCUGGGUAUAGGGGUGAAAGUCCAAUCGAGAUGGGCAAUAGCAGGUUCCGCGCGAGACUACUCGCAGGUAGAUCUUCGCAGAGAUAGAUUACGAUGUAGAGCACUGAUUGGGUAUUUAGGGGGAGCGAUCCCUCGGUACGCUGUCAAACUCCGAAGUUGUAAUCGUCGUAGAAGCGAGGAGUGAGCCACGGUGGGUAAGCUACCGUGACGAAAGGUGAAGAAACCAGCUCAGUGUUAAGGUCCCAAAAUUACAGUUAAGUGUUAAUUACAAACGGAGUCCGUGGUCGAAGACAACUAGAAGGUGGGCUUAGAGGCAGCCAUCCUUGAAAGAGUUCGUAACAGAUCACUAGUCAAGCUUGCGGGCCCGAAAAAUGGACGGGACUAAAACUGUAUACCGAUACACUGAUCCUUCGAAAGA
RNAcentral lists this ribosomal RNA (1253 nucleotides) under Candidatus Thalassarchaeaceae archaeon. Its description in RNAcentral is "partial 23S ribosomal RNA". It matches the Rfam family "Archaeal large subunit ribosomal RNA", at positions 1 to 1302 of the family's 2987-position model. Lineage: Archaea; Methanobacteriati; Thermoplasmatota; Candidatus Poseidoniia; Candidatus Poseidoniales; Candidatus Thalassarchaeaceae. The record is from RNAcentral.